RNAcentral lists this ribosomal RNA (433 nucleotides) under uncultured bacterium. Its description in RNAcentral is "partial 16S ribosomal RNA". It matches the Rfam family "Bacterial small subunit ribosomal RNA", at positions 29 to 507 of the family's 1533-position model. The record is from RNAcentral.
AACGAACGCUGGCGGCAUGCCUAACACAUGCAAGUCGAACGAGACCUUCGGGUCUAGUGGCGCACGGGUGCGUAACGCGUGGGAACCUGCCCUUAGGUUCGGAAUAACUCCCCGAAAGGGGUGCUAAUACCGGAUAAUGUCUUCGGACCAAAGAUUUAUCGCCUUUGGAUGGGCCCGCGUUGGAUUAGCUAGUUGGUAGGGUAAAAGCCUACCAAGGCGACGAUCCAUAGCUGGUCUGAGAGGAUGAUCAGCCACACUGGGACUGAGACACGGCCCAGACUCCUACGGGAGGCAGCAGUGGGGAAUAUUGGACAAUGGGCGAAAGCAUGAACCAGCAAGGCCGCGUGAGUGAUGAAGGCCUGAGGGUUGUAAAGCUCUUUUACCCGGGAUGAUAAUGACAGUACCGGGAGAAUAAGCUCCGGCUAACUCCGUG